This is a long non-coding RNA of Spinacia oleracea (spinach), 901 nucleotides long. RefSeq lists it as uncharacterized. The record is from RefSeq and is a predicted model, not a curated record. The transcript is spliced from 3 exons. Lineage: Eukaryota; Viridiplantae; Streptophyta; Magnoliopsida; Caryophyllales; Amaranthaceae.
UCUAUGGGGGAAAGAAUAUAGAACGGGUACCUUAUUUAACAGUUUCAUAUUCUUUUACCCUGGUAAAAGAAUAAAUAAUAUUAUUAAAUCUAUACAUACAAAUCGCUAAGCGGUGAUAGAUAAAUGCAUACUAUUUUCUAAAAAAAAAAAAAAAAAUACAAAAUAACUAUAUCAGUAUUGGCGGCAGACAAAACUCAAAUUAACUCUAAGAAAAUGAAAUAUCUCCCGCAAAACACAAACCUAAAGCCCAUAAUUAAUAAACUCAAAUCAAAAUGUUAUUACUAAAACUAAUAUACUCAUACCCUAGCCCACCUUCCCCAUUAGGCAUUAGCCGCCAACUCCUCCACUCCUCCGUCUAUCUCUCUGUUUUACCUAUGUGUUUCUCUUUCCCCAUUUCAUAAAUUACUAGUUUAAGAAAUUGUCAUUGUUCCAUUUCGAUUUCCACUCCAAUACUCCUCACACAUGAUUCUCAUUUCUCAGCAGAUUAAAUCAUUGAGAAAUGGAGAUCUGAUUGAAUUUUGGUUAUUUUUAUGUUCUCUUUAAUCGUCAGACUCGCCGCCGUCAUGAUUGCCGCUCCACCAUCAUAUCUCCGACUCCUGUCUUGUUGCUGCCCCAACUAACACCGUUUUUAAGGUUUAAGGUUUAAGUCUAAUGCAGAGCAGCGAGAUAAAGUUCAUAGUUCAUCGUUUUUUUUUCCAGUUGCAGUCAAGUGAAAGAGCUAGGAAAUAUUUGAAGAGGCGAAGAACUUAUAAAGAAUUAUAGUAUGGGAAGUGGGAACAUCAAUUUAUUCAUUUUUUGUUUUUAAUUUCAGUUGUAAAUUAGAGUUACUUCGUAAUAUGUAUGUUUGUGUAUUUGAACUUUAUUGUAAUAUUAACACAUAUAUACAAGAAGUUUUUGGAAA